This 1372-nucleotide ribosomal RNA is filed under the name uncultured bacterium. Its description in RNAcentral is "bacterial SSU rRNA". It matches the Rfam family "Bacterial small subunit ribosomal RNA", at positions 28 to 1381 of the family's 1533-position model. The record is from RNAcentral.
GAUGAACGCUGGCGGCGUGCCUAAUACAUGCAAGUCGAGCGAACAGACAAGGAGCUUGCUCCUUUGACGUUAGCGGCGGACGGGUGAGUAACACGUGGGUAACCUACCUAUAAGACUGGGAUAACUUCGGGAAACCGGAGCUAAUACCGGAUAAUAUUUCGAACCGCAUGGUUCGAUAGUGAAAGAUGGUUUUGCUAUCACUUAUAGAUGGACCCGCGCCGUAUUAGCUAGUUGGUAAGGUAACGGCCUACCAAGGCGACGAUACGUAGCCGACCUGAGAGGGUGAUCGGCCACACUGGAACUGAGACACGGUCCAGACUCCUACGGGAGGCAGCAGUAGGGAAUCUUCCGCAAUGGGCGAAAGCCUGACGGAGCAACGCCGCGUGAGUGAUGAAGGUCUUCGGAUCGUAAAACUCUGUUAUUAGGGAAGAACAUACGUGUAAGUAACUAUGCACGUCUUGACGGUACCUAAUCAGAAAGCCACGGCUAACUACGUGCCAGCAGCCGCGGUAAUACGUAGGUGGCAAGCGUUAUCCGGAAUUAUUGGGCGUAAAGCGCGCGUAGGCGGUUUUUUAAGUCUGAUGUGAAAGCCCACGGCUCAACCGUGGAGGGUCAUUGGAAACUGUAAAACUUGAGUGCAGAAGAGGAAAGUGGAAUUCCAUGUGUAGCGGUGAAAUGCGCAGAGAUAUGGAGGAACACCAGUGGCGAAGGCGACUUUCUGGUCUGUAACUGACGCUGAUGUGCGAAAGCGUGGGGAUCAAACAGGAUUAGAUACCCUGGUAGUCCACGCCGUAAACGAUGAGUGCUAAGUGUUAGGGGGUUUCCGCCCCUUAGUGCUGCAGCUAACGCAUUAAGCACUCCGCCUGGGGAGUACGACCGCAAGGUUGAAACUCAAAGGAAUUGACGGGGACCCGCACAAGCGGUGGAGCAUGUGGUUUAAUUCGAAGCAACGCGAAGAACCUUACCAAAUCUUGACAUCCUUUGACAACUCUAGAGAUAGAGCCUUCCCCUUCGGGGGACAAAGUGACAGGUGGUGCAUGGUUGUCGUCAGCUCGUGUCGUGAGAUGUUGGGUUAAGUCCCGCAACGAGCGCAACCCUUAAGCUUAGUUGCCAUCAUUAAGUUGGGCACUCUAAGUUGACUGCCGGUGACAAACCGGAGGAAGGUGGGGAUGACGUCAAAUCAUCAUGCCCCUUAUGAUUUGGGCUACACACGUGCUACAAUGGACAAUACAAAGGGCAGCGAAACCGCGAGGUCAAGCAAAUCCCAUAAAGUUGUUCUCAGUUCGGAUUGUAGUCUGCAACUCGACUACAUGAAGCUGGAAUCGCUAGUAAUCGUAGAUCAGCAUGCUACGGUGAAUACGUUCCCGGGUCU